RNAcentral lists this ribosomal RNA (1678 nucleotides) under Enterobacter hormaechei. RNAcentral describes it as "partial 23S ribosomal RNA". It matches the Rfam family "Bacterial large subunit ribosomal RNA", at positions 1271 to 2925 of the family's 2925-position model. Lineage: Bacteria; Pseudomonadati; Pseudomonadota; Gammaproteobacteria; Enterobacterales; Enterobacteriaceae. The record is from RNAcentral.
UGCUGGAGGUAUCAGAAGUGCGAAUGCUGACAUAAGUAACGAUAAAGCGGGUGAAAAGCCCGCUCGCCGGAAGACCAAGGGUUCCUGUCCAACGUUAAUCGGGGCAGGGUGAGUCGACCCCUAAGGCGAGGCCGAAAGGCGUAGUCGAUGGGAAACAGGUUAAUAUUCCUGUACUUGGUGUUACUGCGAAGGGGGGACGGAGAAGGCUAUGUCAGCCGGGCGACGGUUGUCCCGGUUUAAGCAUGUAGGCGGAGGUUCCAGGUAAAUCCGGUACCUUGUUAACGCUGAGGUGUGAUGACGAGGCACUACGGUGCUGAAGUGAUAAAUGCCCUGCUUCCAGGAAAAGCCUCUAAGCAUCAGGUAACACGAAAUCGUACCCCAAACCGACACAGGUGGUCAGGUAGAGAAUACCAAGGCGCUUGAGAGAACUCGGGUGAAGGAACUAGGCAAAAUGGUGCCGUAACUUCGGGAGAAGGCACGCUGAUGUGUAGGUGAAGUCCCUGCGGACGGAGCUGAAAUCAGUCGAAGAUACCAGCUGGCUGCAACUGUUUAUUAAAAACACAGCACUGUGCAAACACGAAAGUGGACGUAUACGGUGUGACGCCUGCCCGGUGCCGGAAGGUUAAUUGAUGGGGUUAGCUGUAAGGCGAAGCUCUUGAUCGAAGCCCCGGUAAACGGCGGCCGUAACUAUAACGGUCCUAAGGUAGCGAAAUUCCUUGUCGGGUAAGUUCCGACCUGCACGAAUGGCGUAAUGAUGGCCAGGCUGUCUCCACCCGAGACUCAGUGAAAUUGAACUCGCUGUGAAGAUGCAGUGUACCCGCGGCAAGACGGAAAGACCCCGUGAACCUUUACUAUAGCUUGACACUGAACACUGGUCCUUGAUGUGUAGGAUAGGUGGGAGGCUUUGAAGCGUGGACGCCAGUCUGCGUGGAGCCGUCCUUGAAAUACCACCCUUUAAUGGCUGGUGUUCUAACGUAGACCCGUAAUCCGGGUUGCGGACAGUGUCUGGUGGGUAGUUUGACUGGGGCGGUCUCCUCCCAAAGAGUAACGGAGGAGCACGAAGGUUGGCUAAUCCUGGUCGGACAUCAGGAGGUUAGUGCAAUGGCAUAAGCCAGCUUGACUGCGAGCGUGACGGCGCGAGCAGGUGCGAAAGCAGGUCAUAGUGAUCCGGUGGUUCUGAAUGGAAGGGCCAUCGCUCAACGGAUAAAAGGUACUCCGGGGAUAACAGGCUGAUACCGCCCAAGAGUUCAUAUCGACGGCGGUGUUUGGCACCUCGAUGUCGGCUCAUCACAUCCUGGGGCUGAAGUAGGUCCCAAGGGUAUGGCUGUUCGCCAUUUAAAGUGGUACGCGAGCUGGGUUUAGAACGUCGUGAGACAGUUCGGUCCCUAUCUGCCGUGGGCGCUGGAGAAUUGAGGGGGGCUGCUCCUAGUACGAGAGGACCGGAGUGGACGCAUCACUGGUGUUCGGGUUGUCAUGCCAAUGGCACUGCCCGGUAGCUAAAUGCGGAAGAGAUAAGUGCUGAAAGCAUCUAAGCACGAAACUUGCCCCGAGAUGAGUUCUCCCUGAGACUUUAAGUCUCCUGAAGGAACGUUGAAGACGACGACGUUGAUAGGUCGGGUGUGUAAGCGCAGCGAUGCGUUGAGCUAACCGAUACUAAUGAACCGUGAGGCUUAACCUU